UACGGAGGGUGCAAGCGUUAUCCGGAAUCACUGGGUUUAAAGGGUACGUAGGCGGUUUGUUAAGUCAGUCGUGAAAGUUUGUGGCUCAACCAUAAAAUUGCGAUUGAUACUGGCGAACUAGAAUUUGGUGGAGGCUGGCGGAAUGAGACAAGUAGCGGUGAAAUGCUUAGAUAUGUCUCAGAACACCGAUUGCGAAGGCAGCUGGCUACGCCAAUAUUGACGCUGAGGUACGAAAGUGUGGGUAGCAAACAGG
Molecule: ribosomal RNA, 253 nt
Filed under: uncultured bacterium
Lineage: Bacteria
Description: partial 16S ribosomal RNA
Rfam family: Bacterial small subunit ribosomal RNA
Source: RNAcentral